Molecule: ribosomal RNA, 443 nt
Filed under: uncultured bacterium
Lineage: Bacteria
Description: partial 16S ribosomal RNA
Rfam family: Bacterial small subunit ribosomal RNA
Source: RNAcentral
CCUACGGGGGACAGCAGUGGGGAAUAUUGGGCAAUGGGCGCAAGCCUGACCCAGCAACGCCGCGUGAAGGAAGAAGGCUUUCGGGUUGUAAACUUCUUUUAUCAGGGACGAAGCAAGUGACGGUACCUGAUGAAUAAACCACGGCUAACUACGGACCAGCAGCCGGGGUAAUACGUAGGGGGCAAGCGUUAACCGGAUUGACUGGGUGUAAAGGUCGUGUAGGCGGGAGUGCAAGUCAGAUGUGAAAACUAUGGGCUCAACCCAUAGCCUGCAUUUGAAACUGGACUUCUUGAGUGAUGGAGAGGUAAGCGGAAUGCCAGGUGUAGCGGUGAAAUGCGUAGAUAUACGGAAGAACACCAGUGGCGAAGGCAGAUUGCUGGACAGUAACUGACGCUGAGGCGCGAAAGCGUGGGGAGCAAACAGGAUUAGAUACCCUUGUAGUC